Molecule: long non-coding RNA, 5613 nt
Filed under: Sus scrofa (pig)
Lineage: Eukaryota; Metazoa; Chordata; Mammalia; Artiodactyla; Suidae
Description: lncRNA (ENSSSCG00015051220.1)
Source: RNAcentral
GUACCCGUCCAUGGUAUUUCUUGGUGUCUUCAUAAUGUACUGGCUAAUAUCACUCCUCAUAGUGAGUGAUCUAAGAGAAAGAACAGAGAGGAAACCAUGAUGCCUUUUUAGUCUUAGAAGUAAAUCCUUUUAUUUCUACCACUUUCUGUUUGUUAGAAGUGAGUCACCAAGUGUAGCCAACACUCAAGGGGAGAGGAAUUAGACUAGGAGGAACAUCAGAGAUUUGUGAAUGUACAUUAAAACUACCACAAGCAUUACUCAAGUUUUACUCAUUGUCCCAACCAUGCCCUUUAUAUCAAAAGAAAGUACAGGAUCAUCUGCCUUUUUGUGCUCUUUAAUCUCAUUCAUUGUCUUUCACAACACUGACAUUUCAGAAGAGCAUGGCCAGUUGUUCUAUAGAUUCUCUCAAUUUGAAUGUCUGAUAUUUCCACAUGAUUAGAUUAAAUAUUUUAAAAUUUCUUGCCAGGUCAUUAAUGCAUUUAAAAAAGUGUUUAAUUUUGUGUUUUAAUAUUUAUCUAACAGUUUGGCUUAGGCUGUCUUUUGCAUGAGAGUCCUUUGGAUAUCUUUUUCACCAACUGCUAGAAACCAAAACAGUGUUUCCUAUUUUAAUGCUUACUUGUACAGAGAGUAUUAAAUUAUUUUACUUCCUCUCAAAGCUUUGAUGGUUGUCACUGGACAUCGUGGUAACUACUACUUGUUAAAACUGAGAGAUACUGCUCUCUUAUCAUUCCUAUUGUAUGAUUCCCCAAAUUAUUUUAUGUGCCUUGUGGAAGGGGUUUAUACUCUGUUCCAAACUUUCUCUUAAUGGUAAGCUAGUAAGUUGGAUCCUCACCAAAUGAUACCAUAUUUACAGUGGCUGUUGAUAAUCAUAGCUAACAAUCAUUGAGUGCUUACUAUAUUUCAACAUUCUAGAUACAUUUGCAAGUAUUAACUAGUUUAAUCUUUUCAAUGUCUUAUGAAUUGGAGGCCAUUAUGAUUUAUGUUUUACUGACUGGAGAGUGAAUAAUGGUAAAGGUGUGAGCCAGAUUCAGGCAGUCUGUCUCCAGAGAUUGUACCCCUAAUUGCUAUGCAUUACUAGCAUGAAGAGGAAUGCCUCCUGUAAAGUUAUGAGAUAUUUGUAAACCUCUAUGUGAAUGUAACAUUUCCAAGGCAAGAGGAGCAGGAGUUAGGAGGGAACAUAAAAAAAAUCUUCCUCUCCCCUCCCCCAACUGAAGAAACCAAAGCUUAAAGAAAGUAUUUACUACUCAGGGAUAAAGGGAUAAAGUUGAGACAAAAUUUAGAUCUCCAGAUACCCAAUCAGUCCCAUUCACUUUCCAUCAUAGCAUACUGUAAAUUUCUAAUAAAAUGAAAGUAGAUGCCCUGCACUCAAUUAUUUCACCAGGGACAAAUGAUAUAAUUCAAAGUUGAAUUCUAAAAUUAGUGUGCAGCAUAUGCCAUACAUUAAUUAAACAUGAACUGCUUUUACUUUUUAAUUUUUUUAAUUUUUAUUUUUUUGACUUUUUGCAUUUUCUAGGGCCACACCUGUGGCAUAUGGAGGUUCCCAGGCUAGGGUUCUAAUUGGAGCUGUAGCCACCAGCCUAUGCCAGAGCCACAGAAGUGCAGGAUCCAAGCUGUGUCUGUGACCUACACCACAGCUCACAGCAACGCUGGAUCCUUAACCCACUGAGCAAGGCCAGGGAUUGAACCCGCAACCUCAUGGUUCCUUGUCGGAUUCGUUAACCAUUGAGCCAUGAUGGGAACUCCUUACUUGCUUUUUUAGAACAUAAAAGGGCUUUGUGGGAAUGAUUUGGAUAACCCAUGCAUUUUUGCUCAGAUAAUCUGGUUAGUUCAAAUUUUUUCUUUUGUCCUAAGCAAAUAUAUUUGACAUAAUUUCUUUGCUCAUUUAAGAGUAAUCUUAGCAAAUGUCAUUUUGGCUUUUUGGCUUUUUUUUUUUUUUUUUGCUAUUUCUUUGGGCUGCUCUCGCGGCAUAUGGAGGUUCCCAGGCUAGGGGUCUAAUCGGAGCUGUAGCCGCCAGCCUACGCCAGAGCCACAGCAACGCGGGAUCCGAGCCGCAUCUGCAACCUACACCACAACUCACGGCAAUGCCGGAUCAUUCACCCACUGAGCAAGGGCAGGGACCAAACCCGCAACCUCAUGGUUCCUAGUCAGAUUUGUUAACCACUGCGCCACGACGGGAACUCCCUGCAAAUGUCAUUUUGAACAUACUCCUGAAAAGUUAUCAAGUAGAUAAAAUAUGCAACUAUAAAGAGGACCCAUUGCGUACAUACCCAUUUAGUAAAACAAUCAAGUUAUUCAUGUUAUUUAGUAUUGGCAUGUGAAAUUGAUCAACUUAUAUAGUGUAGUUGGCAGUAUUUAGUGAUGUAACCCUUCAGAUGUCUAUGGAUCAAUUACUAUUAUUUUUGCUAUAAUGUUAUUUUAUAAUACAUUGAUUGUUUUAAAGUGGUACUCAAGGCACCUCCAUACUUAGUGUCUUGCUUUAUGAUACUUAGCCAAGAAUGAUGAUGUUCAAAAUGGGUAUGUCUUGUACUUCUGAAUGGGAGCCAACCAUUCAGAACACAAAUCAGCCCAAAACAAUGCCAGACAGUGUACAUUGGAUACAUUUGAGCUGUAAUAUACAUAGAGACAGUAUGGAGAUAAUGAUUCUCUUGUGUUUUAUCCUCUUAUUUGUAUUGGGUUGAUAUUCUUCUAUUGAUUUUUCUUUUCAUUAUUACAUCCCCUCCUACUAGCAUAAACUUACUUGAAAGGGAAAUGCAUCAUGCAGGCAGAGUUUAAAAGCAGAAAGUUGAUGGUUAUUUAUGGGCUGAUUAAAUUUUUGUAUCCUAUUAUGGGGAUGCAGGAUAUUUAGUCAGUUUUCCUGUCCUUCUAGGCAUACUAGAGGAAUACACUUUUCUAUCCCUUUACCAUCGGGUUGGGCCAUGUGGCUGUUUUGAUCAAUGGGAUCUGAAAAGAAGUGGUUGAAUGAAUCAUACUGAGCCUAAGAAUUUAAUUGCAAGAAUUUCUUCCCUUGACAAGAUGAUCGAGGAGGUCUCUUUCUCCCAGAUUAUGGAGCCUCCAUUAAUUUGGAAACUCGAGUGGUACAUGAAGCUGUCCUAUGUAGGAUUUUCAUGUAGCAUCAGUGAGAAAUAAACUGCUAUUUCAGUAUGCCAUUGAGUUUUGAGGUUUGUUUGUAAUAGUACCCCGACUAAUAUAUGUCCAACAGAAUAUUUAAUAAAUAUUUUUGAAUGAAAGAAUUAGACUUUCUUAAAAUUAAAUAAUUUCAAGGUUGAUCAUAAAUCAUAAAUAAUGCAAUAUUCUGUCCAGAUUUUAUCUUGAGUUUUACUGUAUCUUUAUUAUCAAUUCAACUGACAUAUUUUCCCCUGGAUUUAAUAUAUAUCCUAACCCUGAUUUGAUGUUCUCACUUGAAGCCUUUACCUCUAAUUCUAACAUGCCAUGGCUGUUGUCUCACAAGGAUUGUGUAAGGAAAGGUUAAAUAUUCCUUCCAUAUUUAUUUCUCCUUUCUUACUUUCCUCAGAAAUAGAUACCUUUAAUAAUUUGUCUAAGGAACUACUCCUUUCCAUUUUUUCUGGAGUUGUGGGAACAUGCCUUACUAGAUAAAAGGAGAUGACAAACCUACUGCCUGAAGAACCAGACAUAUUUUGCAUUCUAUAAGUCUGUUAAGUCUGUCAAAAGUGACAAGGCUUUGUUUUGGAAGAAUUCGCCCUUCAUCAUUUGAGAAUAAUGUCUGUUGUCAAGCAGACAGCAUCACCCUAUAGAGACUGGGAAUUCAGGGAUCUGUUUCUAUCCCUUUAGCAGCUCAUUCCUUUAUGAGUCCCAGAAGCACUGUGAGCCUUUAGCUGGACUUGUGGAAGUUGUCAGAAAGAAACAAACAAACAAAAUUAAGUAAUGUGGGUUUCUGCAGUGUCAAGCUUCAUUUUUGUAAGAUUUUUGAACUUUUAGAAAAUGCCCGCUCAAUAAUUGGUAUUUCAUAAAUGAAAGAAAAGUCAUAAAUAUUUAUGAAAGACAUUAACUCAACAUAAUGCAGUAUAUGAGUAUUUAACAUCUGUGUCCUAAAUAAUAUGAUGCCACUCUGAGAGGAGGGCAGUGGGAGGAAAAUGCAAAGAGAAAGCCUGUCACCAUGCUUAUACAUUAGUAGAGAAAAAAGGACAUAUGCUGAAAUCAUUGUUAUGUAAGAGAGGGAUGAUAUCUUUGAAAUGAAGUUUUAUGAUAAUAAAGUAUCAAGAGAAUUUACCUCACAUUUUUAAAAGUUGAGGGCUAGGUAACUAUGCAUAAAUCACGUAGCCUUGGAAGAUUGAAGUUCAAUAUAAAUAAAUAAAGAGUUUAAAGACUAUAGACCAGACAACAUUGGAUGUGGUCCGAGGUUGGUGAAUUGUUAGAGACUGGAAAGGCUGGAGGACUGAAUGGAUGAGUUUGUGUGGGAAUGCAUACAUCCAGAGAGAUAGUUUGGGUGCUUAUCUGAAGCAGGUAAUACAUGAAUUUGCUUUGAAAGAAGGGCCCAUUAUAAAUUUUAGGAUAGAAAAAUGAAAUGGUAUAAAAGGCCUUUUAGUUUUUUGAAAAAUUAUGUUUUACUGAAAUGUAGUACUUCAUAUGUUCUCACCAGCUCAGAUCUCCCAGAAGUACAAUUUUCCAUCAAAGAAAUGUUGAGUAGAGCCUGGUAAGUUGGUUCAGGUCUUCAGAGAGCUCUGGUGAAUGUAGUGGGUAGCUUCCUAUGAAGUGAAGUUUGGCACUUGCCAUAAGCUUCUACAUGAAUUGAAUCAUGGGCCACUGCAGCUACCAGCCCAUGGCACACCCUGAGCGGAGCUCAGGGUGAAAAUCAGGAGUGAAGCACUCUGUGUCUGGGAAGACUGGAAGAACAGGUCUUCAGAUAAUCAGAUAUUUUUAGAUUUUAUGUGUGCAAUUCUUGCACCUCCUCAUAUCUAGAAAAACAUUCAAAUCCUUCAUGGUGAUGUCUGCUUCUUGUGACCUUCAGGAAAUCAACAACAAACUUUUGUAAAAUGUGUGCCUGGCUGCAUGCACCUCCCCUUCACCUUUCUCAUAUCCUGAUUUUCCCCUUUCCUCUUUGGGUGGCAUUUCAGAGCUAUCUGAAGUACCUGGUCUGUAAUUAAGGGUAAAGCAAAGAAUGUCUUGGUCAUCUGGGAAGGCAGUCACCUCCAAAGGUGAGAGCAGGCGAGUCCUGCAGACUGACUCCUUGACUCAGGAUACUGGUCUUGACAGCAGAGGUGCAUAUCAAAGGUAUGAUUUCAGUGAACCCUGGCCUCUUUUGUUCCUGCUACCUGCCCUUUGUUGCAAAAACUCCUAUAUAUCCUAGUGCCUCCCUCUCCACCUCGGAGCAGUUUCUCAGGGCUAUCUGAGUUGCUAUCUCCCAGGAUUAAGUCCUAAUUUUGCCACAAAUAUAACUUAACUCUCGGAGGAGUUCCCAUAGUGGCUCAGCUGAAACGAAUCCAACUAGGAACUGUGAGGUUGAGGGUCUGAUCCCUGGUCUCGCUCAGUGGGUUAAGGAUCUGGCAUUUCUGUGAGCUGUGAUAUAAGUCAUAGACACAGCUUAGAUCCUGUGUUGCUGUGGCUGUGGUGUAGGCCAGCAGCUGUAGCUCUGAUUCCCUGGGGACUUCCAUAUGC